AAGUCGUAACAAGGUUUCCGUAGGUGAACCUGCGGAAGGAUCAUUAUUGAAAUCCAAAGAGAGAGGGGGGGCAAAAGAGUUUGAGGGGGAGAAUUCCUCCUCAUCUCUCCCCCUCGAUCGACCCUCACACACCCGUGCACCUAUUGUAGGCUUUCCUUGUAAAAGGGGGAAAUCUAUGUCUUUCUAUCUACACCGAACGUAUGUCUAAAGAACGUCUAUUUGCUCGUGUCGUUCGGCUCGUGCCUCAGGGCCCUGCUGUCGACCGCAAAGUAUAAAUCAUUACAACUUUCAGCAACGGAUCUCUUGGCUCUC
This 312-nucleotide unclassified non-coding RNA is filed under the name fungal sp. RNAcentral's name for it is "partial internal transcribed spacer region". The stretch from base 1 to 46 matches the Rfam family "Eukaryotic small subunit ribosomal RNA", at positions 1786 to 1831 of the family's 1831-position model. The record is from RNAcentral. Lineage: Eukaryota; Fungi.